UACGGGGGGAGCAAGCGUUGUUCGGAUUUACUGGGCGUAAAGGGCGCGUAGGCGGUCAGCACAAGUCAGUUGUGAAAUCUCCGGGCUUAACUCGGAAAGGUCAACUGAUACUGUGCGACUAGAGUGCAGAAGGGGCAACUGGAAUUCUCGGUGUAGCGGUGAAAUGCGUAGAUAUCUGGAGGAAUACCGGUGGCGAAGGCGGCAUCCUGGACCGACAUUGACGCUGAUGAGCGAAAGCCAGGGGAGCAAACGGG
Molecule: ribosomal RNA, 254 nt
Filed under: uncultured bacterium
Lineage: Bacteria
Description: partial 16S ribosomal RNA
Rfam family: Bacterial small subunit ribosomal RNA
Source: RNAcentral